GCGGAGGAAAAGAAACUAACUAGGAUUCCCUUAGUAACGGCGAGUGAACCGGGAUGAGCUCAAAUUUGAAAUCUGGCGUCUUUCAGGCGUCCGAGUUGUAAUCUAUAGAGGCGUUUUCCGCGCCGGACCGCGUCCAAGUCUCUUGGAAUAGAGUAUCAAAGAGGGUGACAAUCCCGUACUUGACGCGACAACCGGUGCUCUGUGAUACGUUCUCAAUGAGUCGAGUUGUUUGGGAAUGCAGCUCUAAAUGGGUGGUAAAUUCCAUCUAAGGCUAAAUAUUGGCGAGAGACCGAUAGCGAACAAGUACCGUGAGGGAAAGAUGAAAAGCACUUUGGAAAGAGAGUUAAACAGCACGUGAAAUUGUUAAAAGGGAAACGAUUGAAGUCAGUCGUGUGGGAAGUAUUCAGCCGUCUCUGGCGGUGUAUUUGCUUCUCACGGGUCAACAUCAGUUUGAUCCGGUAGAAAAAGGCGGGAAGAAGGUGGCACCCUCGGGUGUGUUAUAGCUUCCUGUCAUAUGUGCCGGACCAGACUGAGGAACGCAGCUUGCAGCAAUGCCGGGGUUCGCCCACGUACAAGCUUAGGAUGUUGACAUAAUGGCUUUAAACGACCCGUCUUG
This 616-nucleotide ribosomal RNA is filed under the name Vishniacozyma carnescens. RNAcentral describes it as "partial large subunit ribosomal RNA". It matches the Rfam family "Eukaryotic large subunit ribosomal RNA", at positions 50 to 656 of the family's 3401-position model. The record is from RNAcentral. Lineage: Eukaryota; Fungi; Basidiomycota; Tremellomycetes; Tremellales; Bulleribasidiaceae.